RNAcentral lists this ribosomal RNA (345 nucleotides) under uncultured bacterium. Its description in RNAcentral is "bacterial SSU rRNA". It matches the Rfam family "Bacterial small subunit ribosomal RNA", at positions 163 to 507 of the family's 1533-position model. The record is from RNAcentral.
CUACUACUAUAUAUAUAGUNUCNCAUAGUAAUUUAUGAAUUAAAGCUCAGGCGGUUGAAGAUUAUCGUGCGUCUGAUUAGGUAGUUGGUAGGGUAAUGGCCUACCAAGCCAACGAUCAGUAGCUGGUCUGAGAGGAUGAUCAGCCACACUGGAACUGAGACACGGUCCAGACUCCUACGGGAGGCAGCAGUAGGGAAUAUUGGGCAAUGGAGGCAACUCUGACCCAGCCAUCCCGCGUGCAGGAAUAAGGCCCUAUGGGUUGUAAACUGCUUUUAUUAGGGAAGAAAAACUUCGAUUCAUCGGAGCUUGACGGUACCUAACGAAUAAGCACCGGCUAACUCCGUG